AUACGGAGGGUGCAAGCGUUACUCGGAAUCACUGGGCGUAAAGGACGCGUAGGCGGUUUGGAAAGUCAGAUGUGAAAUGCUAGGGCUCAACCGUAGAACUGCAUCUGAACCUCCCAGACUAGAAUGAGUGAGAGGUCAGUGGAAUUAGUGGUGUAGGGGUAAAAUCCGUAGAGAUCACUAGGAAUACUCAUUGCGAAGGCGACUGACUGGAACUUAAUUGACGCUGAGGCGUGAAAGCGUGGGGAGCAAACAGGAUUAGAAACCCUAGUAGUCC
This 274-nucleotide ribosomal RNA is filed under the name uncultured bacterium. RNAcentral's name for it is "partial 16S ribosomal RNA". It matches the Rfam family "Bacterial small subunit ribosomal RNA", at positions 523 to 796 of the family's 1533-position model. The record is from RNAcentral.